Molecule: transfer RNA, 90 nt
Filed under: Nocardia rhizosphaerihabitans
Lineage: Bacteria; Bacillati; Actinomycetota; Actinomycetes; Mycobacteriales; Nocardiaceae
Description: tRNA-Trp
Source: RNAcentral
GCGCACGUGCGCAUCGGCUAUGCGCGCGCCUCCACCGCGCGCCAGUUCGAGGGUGCCGUUCGGGCUGCGAUCCGCGCGCGGCGGGCGCGC